GGAAGUUGCUGGCUGACUGGGCUUGCGAGGAAACCGCCUCGGAGCUGCAGCCGAAGGCCAAGGAAUCACUGAAGAUCGGCGAGGGAGGACAGGGGGUUCAUCAUGGGUGGCUUUUUCUCAAGUAUAUUUUCCAGUCUGUUUGGAACUCGGGAAAUGAGAAUUUUAAUUUUGGGAUUAGAUGGAGCAGGAAAAACCACAAUUUUGUACAGAUUACAAGUGGGAGAAGUUGUUACUACUAUACCUACCAUUGGAUUUAAUGUAGAGACGGUGACGUACAAAAACCUUAAAUUCCAAGUCUGGGAUUUAGGAGGACAGACAAGUAUCAGGCCAUACUGGAGAUGUUACUAUUCAAACACAGAUGCAGUCAUUUAUGUAGUAGACAGUUGUGACCGAGACCGAAUUGGCAUUUCCAAAUCAGAGUUAGUUGCCAUGUUGGAGAAGAGCUGAGAAAAGCCAUUUUAGUGGUGUUUGCAAAUAAACAGGACAUGGAACAGGCCAUGACUUCCUCAGAGAUGGCAAAUUCACUUGGGUUACCUGCCUUGAAGGACCGAAAAUGGCAGAUAUUCAAAACGUCAGCAACCAAAGGCACCGGCCUUGAUGAGGCAAUGGAAUGGUUAGUUGAAACAUUAAAAAGCAGACAGUAAUUCAGUCCAUUCUUCUCCCCUGAAAUGAAGACUACAUCACCUCUCUCCCUUUGGAAACAGUCAAGUGUACUUCACACUACUAGAUGUUAAAACUAUAUGAUUAUUGGCAUAUACUGACUGACUGCAAUAUUUGUAGUAAAUAGGGAAAAUAAGUAUUUAGUUGGAGGGAUAAUUUGAUCGAAUCACCUGAAUGUUCUAUGUAAUGUAAAAUAUUCUUUUCUUGCUUUCUUGUGUUAAGGUAUAUAUUCUAUUUGUAUGGAAUUCUUAUUCAAAUACAGUUCUAUUAAAGAGUAUACUCCUAUUGGAUGAAAAAAACC
This 961-nucleotide long non-coding RNA is filed under the name Homo sapiens (human). RNAcentral describes it as "long non-coding RNA NONHSAT163922.1". Lineage: Eukaryota; Metazoa; Chordata; Mammalia; Primates; Hominidae. The record is from RNAcentral.